CCUACGGGAGGCAGCAGUGAGGAAUAUUGGUCAAUGGGCGGGAGCCUGAACCAGCCAAGUCGCGUGAGGGAAGACGGUCCUAUGGAUUGUAAACCUCUUUAGGCGGGGAGCAAUGCCGGGCACGUGUGCCCGGAGGGAGAGUACCCGCAGAAUAAGCAUCGGCUAACUCCGUGCCAGCAGCCGCGGUAAUACGGAGGAUGCGAGCGUUAUCCGGAUUGAUUGGGUUAAAAGGGUGCGUAGGCGGAUUUUUAAGUCAGCGGUAAAAUGUCCGGGCUCAACCCGGGCCGGCCGUUGAAACUGGGGAUCUUGAGUGUGCGAGAAGUAUGCGGAAUGCGUGGUGUAGCGGUGAAAUGCAUAGAUAUCACGCAGAACACCGAUUGCGAAGGCAGCAUACCGGCGCCCGACUGACGCUGAGGCACGAAAGCGUGGGGAUCGAACAGGAUUAGAUACCCGAGUAGUC
This 460-nucleotide ribosomal RNA is filed under the name uncultured bacterium. Its description in RNAcentral is "partial 16S ribosomal RNA". It matches the Rfam family "Bacterial small subunit ribosomal RNA", at positions 338 to 795 of the family's 1533-position model. The record is from RNAcentral.